This 500-nucleotide ribosomal RNA is filed under the name uncultured bacterium. Its description in RNAcentral is "partial 16S ribosomal RNA". It matches the Rfam family "Bacterial small subunit ribosomal RNA", at positions 30 to 523 of the family's 1533-position model. The record is from RNAcentral.
AUUGAACGCUGGCGGAAUGCUUUACACAUGCAAGUCGAACGGCAGCACGGACUUCGGUCUGGUGGCGAGUGGCGAACGGGUGAGUAAUGUAUCGGAACGUGCCCAGUCGUGGGGGAUAACGUAGUGAAAAUUACGCUAAUACCGCAUACGAUCUAUGGAUGAAAGCGGGGGAUCGCAAGACCUCGCGCAAUUGGAGCGGCCGAUAUCAGAUUAGGUAGUUAGUGGGGUAAAGGCCCACCAAGCAAACGAUCUGUAGCUGGUCUGAGAGGACGAACAGCCACACUGGAACUGAGACACGGUCGAGACUCCUACGGGAGGCAGCAGGGGGGAAUUGUGGACAAUGGGCGAAAGCCUGAUCCAGCCAUUCCGCGUGCAGGAUGAAGGCCCUCGGGUUGUAAACUGCUUUUGUACAGAACGAAAAGGUUUCUACUAAUACUAGGAGCUCAUGACGGUACUGUAAGAAUAAGCACCGGCUAACUACGUGCCAGCCGCCGCAGUAA